This 377-nucleotide ribosomal RNA is filed under the name uncultured bacterium. RNAcentral's name for it is "bacterial SSU rRNA". It matches the Rfam family "Bacterial small subunit ribosomal RNA", at positions 521 to 896 of the family's 1533-position model. The record is from RNAcentral.
UAAUACGUAGGUGGCAAGCGUUGUCCGGAUUUAUUGGGCGUAAAGCGCGCGCAGGUGGUUCGUUGCGUCCGAGGUGAAAUCUCCCGGCUCAACUGGGAGGGGUCUUCGGAUACGGGCGGACUUGAGGAGAGCAGAGGUAGGCGGAAUGCUGGGUGUAGUGGUGAAAUGCGUAGAUAUCCAGCGGAACACCAGUGGCGAAGGCGGCCUACUGGGCUCCACCUGACACUGAGGCGCGAAAGCGUGGGGAGCGAACCGGAUUAGAUACCCGGGUAGUCCACGCCGUAAACGAUGGGCACUAGGUGUGAGGGGUAUUGACCCCCUUCGUGCCGUAGCUAACGCGUUAAGUGCCCCGCCUGGGGAGUACGGCCGCAAGGCUA